AUUGAACGCUGGCGGAAUGCUUUACACAUGCAAGUCGAACGGUAGAGGGGGCAACCCCUUGAGAGUGGCGAACGGGUGAGUAAUAUAUCGGAACGUGCCCAGUCGUGGGGAUAACGUAGCGAAAGUUACGCUAAUACCGCAUACGAUCUAAGGAUGAAAGCGGGGGAUCGCAAGACCUCGCGCGAUUGGAGCGGCCCGAUAUCAGAUUAGGUAGUUGGUGAGGUAAAGGCUNACCAAGCCAACGAUCUGUAGCUGGUCUGAGAGGACGACCCAGCCACACUGGGACUGAGACACGGCCCAGACUCCUACGGGAGGCAGCA
RNAcentral lists this ribosomal RNA (320 nucleotides) under uncultured bacterium. RNAcentral's name for it is "bacterial SSU rRNA". It matches the Rfam family "Bacterial small subunit ribosomal RNA", at positions 30 to 353 of the family's 1533-position model. The record is from RNAcentral.